Molecule: long non-coding RNA, 435 nt
Organism: Drosophila hydei
Lineage: Eukaryota; Metazoa; Arthropoda; Insecta; Diptera; Drosophilidae
Exons: 2
Source: RefSeq, a predicted model, not a curated record
CAGCAGCAGCAGCAGCUGCCCAACAGUUUAGCGACGCAAUUCAGCGGCGAAAAGGACAGCAGGCAAUCGUAAAGCAGCUGCCAGCAGCGGAAGCAGCAGCAGCAACAACUACAACUAAAACUAAACAUUUAAAGCUAUAGAAAUCAUAUUAAUUAAUGUUAGUCGCAGUGUAGUACAGUCAACUCCACUCAAAACUCAACUCCACUCAAAUACCAACUCGUGUGAAGAUCUCCACAAUAACAAACAAACAAUAAUAACAAAUGAAAUAAUGAUAUAUACAAAUACAUAGACACUGCAGCCACACACCCAUAUACAUACGCACACACAUAAAGGGCAUGUGGCUGUAAAAGCAUUUCACACCAAUACAUUGAAUGAGUUUAGUUAUUAAAAACAAAACAAAACAAAAAGAAAACCUAAAUAGCAUUAAAAACAAAA